Molecule: ribosomal RNA, 369 nt
Filed under: uncultured bacterium
Lineage: Bacteria
Description: bacterial SSU rRNA
Rfam family: Bacterial small subunit ribosomal RNA
Source: RNAcentral
AGAGGUGGCAAGCGUUGUUCGGAAUUACUGGGCUUAAAGGGCGCGUAGGUGGUGGCAUAAGUCCGAGGUGGAAGGCUAAGGCUUAACCUUAGAAUUGCCUUGGAAACUGUAUCACUUGAGUCAGCGAGGGGAUGGCGGAAUUCCAGGUGUAGCGGUGAAAUGCGUAGAUAUCUGGAGGAAGGCCGGUGGCGAAGGCGGCCAUCUGGCGCUGAACUGACACUGAGGCGCGAAAGCGUGGGGAGCAAACAGGAUUUGAUACCCUGGUAGUCCACGCCCUAAACGGUGGGUACUAGGUGUAGGGCUCGCAAGGGUUCUGUGCCGUAGGGAAACCAUUAAGUACCCCGCCUGGGGAGUACGGCCGCAAGGUUG